Molecule: long non-coding RNA, 203 nt
Filed under: Elaeis guineensis (African oil palm)
Lineage: Eukaryota; Viridiplantae; Streptophyta; Magnoliopsida; Arecales; Arecaceae
Description: long non-coding RNA (EGUI_LNC053221)
Source: RNAcentral
UUCUUCCGCCUCAGCCCCCCAGGAGCCCCAUCCUGUAGACAAACCCACUCCUGGGAUCGAGCUUCGCCUGGUUUUUGCACCGGGUGUUAUUCACUGUUCCCUGACUCCGGACAACUCCUACUGAUAAGGGUUCAGUAUGGAGUUCCUCUGGAGUAUGACCUAGAGCUUCCUGGCCCCUCCGACGGGGCUAGCACUCCCCCACC